RNAcentral lists this ribosomal RNA (424 nucleotides) under uncultured bacterium. RNAcentral's name for it is "partial 16S ribosomal RNA". It matches the Rfam family "Bacterial small subunit ribosomal RNA", at positions 360 to 775 of the family's 1533-position model. The record is from RNAcentral.
AAUCUUCCGCAAUGGACGAAAGUCUGACGGAGCAACGCCGCGUGAGCGAAGAAGGUCUUCGGAUCGUAAAGCUCUGUUGUUAGGGAAGAACAAGUAUCGUUCGAAUAGGGCGGUACCUUGACGGUACCUAACCAGAAAGCCACGGCUAACUACGUGCCAGCAGCCGCGGUAAGUCGUAGGUGGCAAGCGUGAUCCGGAAUUAUUGGGCGUAAAGCGCGCGCAGGCGGUCCUUUAAGUCUGAUGUGAAAGCCCACGGCUCAACCGUGGAGGGUCAUUGGAAACUGGGGGACUUGAGUGCAGAAGAGGAGAGCGGAAUUCCACGUGUAGCGGUGAAAUGCGUAGAGAUGUGGAGGAACACCAGUGGCGAAGGCGGCUCUCUGGUCUGUAACUGACGCUGAGGCGCGAAAGCGUGGGGAGCGAACAG